Chelonoidis abingdonii (Abingdon island giant tortoise) is the source of this 2246-nucleotide non-coding RNA. NCBI's taxonomy places the organism in Eukaryota, Metazoa, Chordata, Testudines, Testudinidae. The record is from RefSeq and is a predicted model, not a curated record.
GAGAGACUGGAAGCCAAAGUGAGAAACAUAAAAUUGUAUGGCUUUUCAUUUCAUUGCCUGAAACCAAGAAGCUGGAUAAGUGAUGAGGUUAUUGAUGCAUAUUUGAGCUGUGUAGUUGAGAAAGCAGAUGGAAAGAUACAAGCCAUCUCAUCAGUAGUUUCCACUGCCAUUCUCUCAGGCAGAGCUACACAAAUGAAAGUGAAGAGUGAAUUACUUCAGAAUGAUAUAUUAUUGCUUCCUUACCACACACCAGGUCAUUGGCUUCUUGCGGUAAGAUGUUUUGUAUUGUACUUCUGGAUUAUGAGCAAAAAAUGUGGUAAUAAAUAAGAGAUUUGUAACACAACUGUGGUAGCGGCAAUAUAAUUUCCGGUGCUGCUUGUUUUCUGUGAGUUCAAUGCAUGCAAAGGAAAGUAGAAUGUAAUUGUUAAAAAUAAAUUGAUACUGUCAAUUUACAUUGUUCAUGUAACAUGGAAGAAUACAUUCUGUAAAGAAUUGAUUGAUUUAACAAUAUGCUUAUAUCUUGUGUGUUACUGAGACAUUACAAAUGAUAAUGUUAAUUGCAUACUGAUUGUUGAUAAAUCAGCAUACAUUUUUUGAAAUAAUCACAUUACCAAUACAUUUUGUGAAUAUAUUUAAACUUGCAGAUAGCCAUGACGGAAAAAAAAGGAAUUGUUAAUAAUUGAUCCCUUGUGUGAUGAGAUCAGAUAUGAAAGAAUAUGCCUGAGGAAUUGGAGGUGAUUUAUUAGAUACUUACUUUUACAGUGGACGUUAAAUGUUCCAUUGAAAUUUUUUUAAAGGGAAUGUAACAAUAAUGAGACUGUCUUCCUGUUAGCUACAAAUAAACACUGAAACAGCAUGUACUUGUGCUGAAUAUGCUUAAUAAUGGACUUUGAGUGAACUUGUGUGAUUUGACUCUGGGGAACAACUUCACAGAAUGUGGACACGAAACAGUAGCAUGUUGCAUGAUUGAGAAUGUGUUAUCAACAUGGGGCACAGCAACUCGGGUGACACACUGUGUAAGUGUGAGACAAUAAUAUGAAAACAAGUGUGUAUACAUGUGAGCAAUAAAUCAUUUCAAUUACUAAUUAAAAAGCGAGAGAAUGGAUUUUUAUGUAUUUCCAAAAACCAGAGUGGGGAAAAAAAGGAAAGCAAAGCUCAUUUAUGCAGUCUGCUAAUGUACUCUCUAAAAAUUUAAGAAACUUCCUCAAACGCUUAACUAAUAAAUCCUCAUCUGAUUGGAGCAGUAAAAUUGUUCAGCAUCCCAGACAAAGUGAUGGCCACAACUGCGGACCACUCAUCUUAAAGGUAUUGAAUACCAAAUUGGCAUUAUUAUUGGUUAUGUAUGUUUAAUUAUCCAUUUUGAAAGUAAAUGCCAGAGAUUUCCAGUGGGCACUGCACUGGUGUCCUUGCCAAGGUGUAUGGGGUGGGCUUGUGGCCCCAAGAAGGGAUGGGGUCUCCAGUGGAAGGUGUGGUGCUGGGGGACCAGAUUCUACCAUCCAGCCCUUCCUGACAGCUGCUGCUGCAGUGGCCAGGAGCGCCAGGCCCCUGUAAAUCACUGUAACCCAGAACCCCUUUCGGUCCCCCACAUUAGGCAGCCCUGCCAGGAGCAUUCAACAGCAUUGCCGGACCCUAUGGCAGGGCCGCAGAUGCUGGGGUGAUGGGAUAAAGUGGGCAGCGCUGUUAAAGCAUAAAGCACUGCCACAGCGGAAGUGUAACGUCAGCCAUGUACGGGCUGGAACCAGUGGCCAGUUCUUACCGGUACACUGGACCAGCCCACUUUCACCUCUGGUAAUUAUGAGGUUUAUUCUAAAUAUCAGUGUUGUUAGUUUGCAGAAAUGUAUUUGCAGCACAAAGACAUCAGUAUGCUAGAAAUAACACAGAAGGCUAAUACUGCAUUUAGAAGACAUAUAGCAAUUCUUCUAAUGAAGGAGUCAGAAAGCGUGGAGGACUACUGCAUAUGCUGCAACCUUAUCAACUGUGAAAAAGAAAUUGAGGAUGGCACGAUGGUCCAGUGUGAUUCUUGCAAGAGGUGGGCACAUGUACCCUGCAUUACAGAAAGAACCAAUCAAGAAAACCUGACAUAUGAGAAGAAAGAGUUACAACUGCAAGACAUGUGCAUAGUUCACUUCAUUACCAAACAAAAAGGCAAUAAAAAACCCAUUGUUUAAAUGCCUCUUGUUCAAAACAUAAUGCAACCCAAAGAAAUAUAUUUUUAUGUAUAUAUCAGAUUAUAAUAAAUGUUCUUG